AAGAGAGUGCAAGAGAACGUGAAACCGACAUAAUGGAAGCGGAUGGAGCCGACGUAUCGUGCAUGUAUUCAAUUGCACAGCGUUGCAGGCUGCUGGUUUGGCAUUCCGUAAGGUUGCCGAUCGGUUGUUCUUGUUGCGUUUGUGUAAUGCAUUUGCAUGCAGAGUGCGCCGAGUGGGUUGGUUUCGCUGUUGGAAGCUGCUAUAGAGGACUAGCCUUCGGGUUGGAACCCUGUUGCAGUGGAUGAUAGAUGAGGCUGGCUUGUCAACUGCAGGUGAAUUCGCGAUUUGCGUCUUCGGUCUGGUUAACUUGCGAGUAGCACAUGUGUUGCUUGCUUGAUUGCUAGGCUGUUGGCGUUGAUUGCCCUUGCAUUUAACUCGGUGUUCAGUCGGUCACCCAUUCGACCCGUCUUGAAACACGGACCAAGGAGUUUAUGGUGUACGCGAGUCAUUGGGCUUUUAAACCCAAAGGCGUAAUGAAAGUGAGACAUUUAGUGUCUGUGAUGUGAACGGUUUUUGUUUUGACGGUUGCCGUGCAACAUCGCCCUAUGCCUGGGACUUGUCCUGGCGUGGAGGUUGAGCGUACGCUAUGAGACCCGAAAGAUGGUGAACUAUGCCUGAACAGGAUGAAGCCAGAGGAAACUCUGGUGGAAGUCCGAAGCGGUUCUGACGUGCAAAUCGAUCGUCUGAUUUGGGUAUAGGGGCGCAAGACUAAUCGAACCAUC
Molecule: ribosomal RNA, 722 nt
Filed under: Aphelenchoides sp. H1 WY-2008
Lineage: Eukaryota; Metazoa; Nematoda; Chromadorea; Rhabditida; Aphelenchoididae
Description: eukaryotic LSU rRNA
Rfam family: Eukaryotic large subunit ribosomal RNA
Source: RNAcentral